CAGUAGCCGCGGGAAUACGUAGGUGGCAAGCGUUGUCCGGAAUUAUUGGGCGUAAAGCGCGCGCAGGCGGAUAGGUCAGUCUGUCUUAAAAGUUCGGGGCUUAACCCCGUGAUGGGAUGGAAACUGCCAAUCUAGAGUAUCGGAGAGGAAAGUGGAAUUCCUAGUGUAGCGGUGGAAUGCGUAGAUAUUAGGAAGAACACCAGUGGCGAAGGCGGCUUUCUGGACGAAAACUGACGCUGAGGCGCGAAAGCCAGGGGAGCGAACGGGAUUAGAUACCCCUGUAGUCCCUGUCUCUUAUACA
Molecule: ribosomal RNA, 301 nt
Filed under: uncultured bacterium
Lineage: Bacteria
Description: partial 16S ribosomal RNA
Rfam family: Bacterial small subunit ribosomal RNA
Source: RNAcentral